GACGAACGCUGGCGGCGUGCUUAACACAUGCAAGUCGAACGGUGAAGGGGUCUGCUUUUGUGGGCCCUGGAUGAGUGGCGAACGGGUGAGUAACACGUGAGUAACCUGCCCCCUUCUUCUGGAUAACCGCAUGAAAGUGUGGCUAAUACGGGAUAUUCUGGGUCUGUCGCAUGAUGGGUCUGGGAAAGAUUGCGCCUUUGGGUGUUUUUGGUGGGGGAUGGGCUCGCGGCCUAUCAGCUUGUUGGUGGGGUGAUGGCCUACCAAGGCGGUGACGGGUAGCCGGCCUGAGAGGGUGGACGGUCACACUGGGACUGAGACACGGCCCAGACUCCUACGGGAGGCAGCAGUGGGGAAUAUUGCACAAUGGGCGCAAGCCUGAUGCAGCGACGCCGCGUGAGGGAUGGAGGCCUUCGGGUUGUAAACCUCUUUCGCCAGUGAAGCAGGCCUGCUCCUUGUGGGUGGGUUGACGGUAGCUGGAGAAGAAGCGCCGGCUAACUACGCG
Molecule: ribosomal RNA, 502 nt
Filed under: uncultured bacterium
Lineage: Bacteria
Description: partial 16S ribosomal RNA
Rfam family: Bacterial small subunit ribosomal RNA
Source: RNAcentral